This 81-nucleotide transfer RNA is filed under the name Streptomyces sp. NP10. Its description in RNAcentral is "tRNA-Gly". The record is from RNAcentral. Lineage: Bacteria; Bacillati; Actinomycetota; Actinomycetes; Kitasatosporales; Streptomycetaceae.
CGGCGGCGGUGUGGGCACGGGUCCCCUCCCACGGGUCCGGGCGGCCCAGGCGCGCAGCCGUUCCGGAUCCGCCGCCCCCGC